Molecule: ribosomal RNA, 376 nt
Filed under: uncultured bacterium
Lineage: Bacteria
Description: bacterial SSU rRNA
Rfam family: Bacterial small subunit ribosomal RNA
Source: RNAcentral
UACGGAGACUGCGAGCGUUACUCGGAUUCACUGGGCGUAAAGGGUGCGCAGGCGGUUAAUUGUGUCAGGUGUGAAAUCCCGGAGCUCAACUCCGGAACUGCGCCUGAAACUGAUUGACUAGAGGCUCGGAAAGGUAAGCGGAAUUCCAGGUGUAGCGGUGAAAUGCGUAGAUAUCUGGAGGAACACCAAAGGCGAAGGCAGCUUACUAGACGAGAUCUGACGCUCAGGCACGAAAGCGUGGGGAGCAAAAAGGAUUAGAUACCCUUGUAGUCCACGCCGUAAACUUUGUACACUAGGUCUUGGGGGAUUCGACCCCCUCAGGGCUCAAGCUAACGUGAUAAGUGUACCGCCUGAGGACUACGACCGCAAGGUUAAA